AUGUAUUGUUUAAUUUUUGCAGGCUUUUGGAUUUAUGACCAGAGUUGGCUUGAAGGCGGACAAAAUGGAUCACCACCCAGAAUGGUUCAAUGUUUACAACAAGGUUCAGAUUACCUUGAGUACCCAUGAUGUUGGGGGUUUGUCUCAAAGGGACGUUACCUUGGCGAAGUUCAUUGAGGAAGUGGCUAAAUAAUUCACAGUUAGACAUGAGUCAAAUCUUCCCUGGCCAUAUCAAAAUGUUGAAUGUGCAGUAGUAAUCAAGAUCUGUUGUUUGGCAAUUUUCUGUUAAUGUUGUUUAGAACUAUGCAUUUAAUUGUAGAGCUUUGUUUCCGAGGCAGGAGGUAAUUUGUUGUAGAAUAACUGCCCUUUGCCAUGUUCCACAAUGUAGUGGAUUAUGAUUUUCAUCAUUUGAAGCCAAAA
This is a long non-coding RNA of Aplysia californica (California sea hare), 420 nucleotides long. RefSeq lists it as uncharacterized. The transcript has 2 exons. The record is from RefSeq and is a predicted model, not a curated record. NCBI's taxonomy places the organism in Eukaryota, Metazoa, Mollusca, Gastropoda, Aplysiida, Aplysiidae.